UACGGGGGGGAGCAAGCGUUGUCCGGAAUUAUUGGGCGUAAAGAGCUCGUAGGCGGUCUGUUACGUCUGCUGUGAAAACCCAGGGCUUAACCCUGGGCUUGCAGUGGAUACGGGCAGACUAGAGGCAGGUAGGGGAGACUGGAAUUCCCGGUGUAGCGGUGAAAUGCGCAGAUAUCGGGAGGAACACCAAUGGCGAAGGCAGCUCGCUGGGACGGUACUGACGCUGAGACGCGAAAGCGUGGGGAGCAAACAGG
This 254-nucleotide ribosomal RNA is filed under the name uncultured bacterium. RNAcentral's name for it is "partial 16S ribosomal RNA". It matches the Rfam family "Bacterial small subunit ribosomal RNA", at positions 524 to 776 of the family's 1533-position model. The record is from RNAcentral.